AAUGAACGCUGGCGGCAUGCCUUACACAUGCAAGUCGAACGGCAGCAUGACCUAGCUUGCUAGGUUGAUGGCGAGUGGCGAACGGGUGAGUAAUGCAUCGGAACGUGCCUUUUAGUGGGGGAUAACGUAGCGAAAGUUACGCUAAUACCGCAUAUUCUCUGAGGAGGAAAGCAGGGGACCUUCGGGCCUUGCGCUAGAAGAGCGGCCGAUGUCGGAUUAGCUAGUUGGUGAGGUAAAGGCUCACCAAGGCAACGAUCCGUAGCGGGUCUGAGAGGAUGAUCCGCCACACUGGGACUGAGACACGGCCCAGACUCCUACGGGAGGCAGCAGUGGGGAAUUUUGGACAAUGGGCGCAAGCCUGAUCCGGCCAUGCCGCGUGAGUGAAGAAGGCCUUCGGGUUGUAAAGCUCUUUCGGCUGGGAAGAAAUCGCACCCUCUAAUACAGGGUGUGGAUGACGGUACCAGCAUAAGAAGCACCGGCUAACUACGUG
Molecule: ribosomal RNA, 490 nt
Filed under: uncultured bacterium
Lineage: Bacteria
Description: partial 16S ribosomal RNA
Rfam family: Bacterial small subunit ribosomal RNA
Source: RNAcentral